RNAcentral lists this ribosomal RNA (275 nucleotides) under uncultured bacterium. Its description in RNAcentral is "partial 16S ribosomal RNA". It matches the Rfam family "Bacterial small subunit ribosomal RNA", at positions 28 to 302 of the family's 1533-position model. The record is from RNAcentral.
GACGAACGCUGGCGGCGUGCUUAACACAUGCAAGUCGAGCGGUAAGGCCCUUUCGGGGGUACGACGAGCGGCGAACGGGUGAGUAACACGUGGGUGACCUGCCCUUAGCUCUGGGAUAAGCCUGGGAAACUAGGGUCUAAUACCGGAUAUGACUCCAUGACGCAUGUUGUGGGGUGGAAAGCCUUGUGCGGCUAGGGAUGGGCCCGCGGCCUAUCAGCUUGUUGGUGGGGUGAUGGCCUACCAAGGCGACGACGGGUAGCCGGCCUGAGAGGGCG